UCCGAAUUGGUGUAGUGGCCAACAUUUGACGCUCUCAUGAUCUAACAGUCAUCGGUGUUCCGUCAAGCCCGGGGUUCGAUUCCCCGAUUCGGAG
This is a non-coding RNA of Xylariaceae sp. FL0016, 94 nucleotides long. The record is from the annotation of a GenBank genome assembly. NCBI's taxonomy places the organism in Eukaryota, Fungi, Ascomycota, Sordariomycetes, Xylariales, Xylariaceae.